CCUACGGGUGGCAGCAGUGGGGGAUAUUGGACAAUGGGGGGAACCCUGAUCCAGCGACGCCGCGUGAGUGAAGAAGUAUCUCGGGAUGUAAAGCUCUAUCAGCAGGGAAGAAGCAAUGACUGUACCUGAGUAAUAAGCCCCGGCGAACUACGUGCCAGCAGCCGCGGUAAUACGUAGGGCGCAAGCGUUAUCCGGAAUUACUGGGUGUAAAGGGAGCGUAGACGGUGAUGUAAGUCUGGAGUGAAAGGCGCGGGCCCAACCCCCGGACUGCUCUGGAAACUAUGUGACUGGAGUGCAGGAGAGGCGAGCAGAAUUCCUGGUGUAGCGGUGAAAUGCGUAGAUAUGAGGAGGAACACCAGUGGCGAAGGCGGCUCACUGGACUGGAACUGACGUUGAGGCUCGAAAGCGUGGGGAGCGAACAGGAUUAGAUACCCCAGUAGUC
Molecule: ribosomal RNA, 442 nt
Filed under: uncultured bacterium
Lineage: Bacteria
Description: partial 16S ribosomal RNA
Rfam family: Bacterial small subunit ribosomal RNA
Source: RNAcentral